CAAGGAGGGCAAAGGUGGGGGCUGCGGGACCCCGGGGUCCCCUCCGUGGUGGGGACAUGGUACCCAGGCCCUGGGGCCACUCCCAGUUGGGGACAAGGUGCCCAGACCUUGGGGGUCCCCUCUGUGUUGGGGACACAGUGCCCAGACCCUGGGGUCCCCUCCCAGUUGGGGACACGGUGCCCAGACCCUGGGGCCACUCCCAGUUGGGGACACGGUGCCCAGACCUUGGGGUCCCCUCGUGUUGGGGACACGGUGCCCAGACUUGGGGGUCCCUUCUGUGUUGGGGACAAGGUGCCCAGACCCUGGGGCCACUCCCAGUUGGGGACACGGUGCCCAGACCUUGGGGGUCCCCUCGUGUUGGGGACACGGUGCCCAGACCGCAGGGUCCCCUCCCAGUUGGGGACAUGGUACCCAGACCCUAGGGUCACUCCCAGUUGGGGACACGGUGCCCAGACCCCGGGGUCCCCUCCCAGUUGGGGACACAGUGCCCAGGCUUGGGGGUCCCCUCGUGUUGGGGACACGGUGCCCAGACCCUGGGGCCACUCCCAGUUAGGGACACGGUGCCCAGACCCCAGGGGUCCCCUUUGUUUUGGGGGCACAGUGCCCAGACCCCGGGGUCCCCUCGUGUUGGGGACACGGCGCUGUCCCCUCGCCUCCCCCCGCUCUCUGGGCAGGGUCCUCGCAGCCGCGCGUGCCCCUUGGGGACAUCGUG
RNAcentral lists this long non-coding RNA (712 nucleotides) under Numida meleagris (helmeted guineafowl). RNAcentral's name for it is "lncRNA (ENSNMEG00000002552.1)". Lineage: Eukaryota; Metazoa; Chordata; Aves; Galliformes; Numididae. The record is from RNAcentral.